This 749-nucleotide long non-coding RNA is filed under the name Homo sapiens (human). Its description in RNAcentral is "HSALNT0333998". Lineage: Eukaryota; Metazoa; Chordata; Mammalia; Primates; Hominidae. The record is from RNAcentral.
AUUCAAGAAUUUCCUUAAGGCCUACCGUGAAGACGUCGGAGGCAAGUUAAGACGUUGGGGAGCAGCAUCUACUGCAGGAGUUCAACCAGACGCUGAACAGAACAGCAGUUGACUAACCUGUGAUACUGUUAUCAGAUGAAGACCCCUAGGAAGUCUACAGAUUAGAAUGGAAGGAAGAAUCUGGAUUACAGCUUGGAUCAGAGAAGAAGAGUCUUGGUUUUUAUAUAAUUAAGAGGCAAGAAGUAUGGCAAGCAUGGCAAGGAACUCUUAUUUCCAGUUUAAAGAAGGGGCGGGAGUCUCCCUACUGAGCUCCACUUUUCUUUGGAGGCAAGAGGAGUGGCAUUUGUAACUCUGGGUAAGAGUUGAAAUUACUCACAUAGAAGAAGGAGAUGGGACCGGCAUGGAAACUAAUCAUAAUCCCAAAGAUGAAAGUCAGCUGGGACAGCAUGAUAUGAAGUGCCACAGCAGCCAGAACGUUGAUCAGCAGAGCACUCACCAGGAAGAAGGAACCUGUGGAAGAAGAUGUUAGGUAGAAGGUGAAGUUUCAAGUCCAGGUAAACUGAUAUUGACAAAAGCAAGGUAUGGUUGAAUUCUGGAUUGUCCUUCAACUGAAUAACUUUUCUCAUUUGAAAGUGGCCAUUGAGAAGUAAGAAAAAUCAAAAAAGAGAACUGUGUCUCCACAUAUUGUGACCAACUCAUGGGAUUUAGAUGGUGGUGGUUUAGGUAUUUAGUCUCUUUGUGUUAUGGGU